RNAcentral lists this ribosomal RNA (253 nucleotides) under uncultured bacterium. RNAcentral's name for it is "partial 16S ribosomal RNA". It matches the Rfam family "Bacterial small subunit ribosomal RNA", at positions 524 to 776 of the family's 1533-position model. The record is from RNAcentral.
UACGUAGGUGGCAAGCGUUGUUCGGAAUUACUGGGUGUAAAGGGCGUGUAGGCGGGAUAGCAAGUCAGAUGUGAAAUUCCGGGGCUUAACCCCGGCGCUGCAUCUGAAACUGUUAUUCUUGAGUGUCGGAGAGGAAAGUGGAAUUCCAAGUGUAGCGGUGAAAUGCGUAGAGAUUGGGAGGAACACCAGUGGCGAAGGCGGCUUUCUGGACGAUAACUGACGCUGAGGCGCGAAAGCGUGGGGAGCAAACAGG